AUACAAAUCAGAUACUAAAAGUAUGGAUACAAAUAUAAACAUAAGUUAGCUAAUUAAAUUUUAUGAGCAUGGAAUAAAAAAUAUUACUAAGUAGAUGUUGAGUAAAAUGAAUAGCAUGUUAAUAUGGUUAUAUUUUUCUUAAAACCUCUUAAGUGAUAUACUUAAGUGAUAUAUAAAUUUAAAUAGAAUUACAAAUAGAAUUGGAUAUUUGGA
RNAcentral lists this long non-coding RNA (213 nucleotides) under Elaeis guineensis (African oil palm). RNAcentral's name for it is "long non-coding RNA (EGUI_LNC030408)". Lineage: Eukaryota; Viridiplantae; Streptophyta; Magnoliopsida; Arecales; Arecaceae. The record is from RNAcentral.